This 334-nucleotide unclassified non-coding RNA is filed under the name soil metagenome. RNAcentral describes it as "partial contains 5.8S ribosomal RNA, internal transcribed spacer 2, and large subunit ribosomal RNA". The stretch from base 1 to 120 matches the Rfam family "5.8S ribosomal RNA", at positions 35 to 154 of the family's 154-position model. The record is from RNAcentral.
GAUGAAGAACGUAGCGAAAUGCGAUAAGUAAUGUGAAUUGCAGAAUUCAGUGAAUCAUCGAAUCUUUGAACGCACAUUGCGCCCCCCAGUAUUCUGGCGGGCAUGCCUGUUCGAGCAUCAUUUCAACCAUCAAGCCCUGCUUGUGUUGGGGUCCUGCGGCUGCCCGCAGGCCCUGAAAACCAGUGGCGGGCUCGCUAGUCACACCGAGCGCAGUAGCACAUCUCGCUCAGGGCGUGCGGCGGGCUCCAGCCGUUAAAGCACCCACCUUUCGCAAGGUUGACCUCGGAUCAGGUAGGAAUACCCGCUGAACUUAAGCAUAUCAAUAAGCGGAGGA